This 71-nucleotide transfer RNA is filed under the name Cordylochernes scorpioides. RNAcentral's name for it is "tRNA-Gly". Lineage: Eukaryota; Metazoa; Arthropoda; Arachnida; Pseudoscorpiones; Chernetidae. The record is from RNAcentral.
UGCAUCGGCCGGGAAUCGAACCCGGGCCGCCUGGGUGGCAGGCGAGCAUUCUACCACUGAACCACCGAUGG